RNAcentral lists this transfer RNA (72 nucleotides) under Camelus bactrianus (Bactrian camel). It matches the Rfam family "tRNA". From Rfam's summary of the family: Transfer RNA (tRNA) molecules are approximately 80 nucleotides in length. Their secondary structure includes four short double-helical elements and three loops (D, anti-codon, and T loops). Further hydrogen bonds mediate the characteristic L-shaped molecular structure. tRNAs have two regions of fundamental functional importance: the anti-codon, which is responsible for specific mRNA codon recognition, and the 3' end, to which the tRNAs corresponding amino acid is attached (by aminoacyl-tRNA synthetases). tRNAs cope with the degeneracy of the genetic code in two manners: having more than one tRNA (with a specific anti-codon) for a particular amino acid; and 'wobble' base-pairing, i.e. permitting non-standard base-pairing at the 3rd anti-codon position. The record is from Rfam by way of RNAcentral. Lineage: Eukaryota; Metazoa; Chordata; Mammalia; Artiodactyla; Camelidae. RNAcentral also lists the same sequence under 2 other names.
GUGGGUAUAGCUCAGUGGUAGAGUGCAUACUUAGCAUACAUGAGGUCCUGGGUUCAAUCCCCAGUGCCUCCA